GAUGAACGCUGGCGGCGUGCCUAAUACAUGCAAGUCGAGCGAACAGACGAGGAGCUUGCUUCUCUGACGUUAGCGGCGGACGGGUGAGUAACACGUGGAUAACCUACCUAUAAGACUGGGAUAACUUCGGGAAACCGGAGCUAAUACCGGAUAACAUGUUGAACCGCAUGGUUCAACAGUGAAAGACGGUUUUGCUGUCACUUAUAGAUGGAUCCUCGCCGCAUUAGCUAGUUGGUAAGGUAACGGCUUACCAAGGCAACGAUGCGUAGCCGACCUGAGAGGGUGAUCGGCCACACUGGAACUGAGACACGGUCCAGACUCCUACGGGAGGCAGCAGUAGGGAAUCUUCCGCAAUGGGCGAAAGCCUGACGGAGCAACGCCGCGUGAGUGAAGAAGGUCUUCGGAUCGUAAAACUCUGUUAGUAGGGAAGAACAAAUGUGUAAGUAACUAUGCACGUCUUGACGGUACCUAAUCAGAAAGCCACGGCUAACUACGUG
This 497-nucleotide ribosomal RNA is filed under the name uncultured bacterium. RNAcentral's name for it is "partial 16S ribosomal RNA". It matches the Rfam family "Bacterial small subunit ribosomal RNA", at positions 28 to 507 of the family's 1533-position model. The record is from RNAcentral.